GGCGGUGUGGCGAAAUGGUAUCGUGUGGUCCUCCUAACAAGAAGGAUUAACCAGACUGAGGUUGUGGGUUCGAGUCCCAUCACCGUCG
Cercophora newfieldiana is the source of this 88-nucleotide non-coding RNA. NCBI's taxonomy places the organism in Eukaryota, Fungi, Ascomycota, Sordariomycetes, Sordariales, Lasiosphaeriaceae. The record is from the annotation of a GenBank genome assembly.